This 406-nucleotide ribosomal RNA is filed under the name uncultured bacterium. Its description in RNAcentral is "partial 16S ribosomal RNA". It matches the Rfam family "Bacterial small subunit ribosomal RNA", at positions 30 to 526 of the family's 1533-position model. The record is from RNAcentral.
AUUGAACGCUGGCGGCAGGCCUAACACAUGCAAGUCGAACGAGUGGCGGACGGGUUAUUAAUGUCUGGGAAACUGCCUGAUGGCGGGUGAUAACUACUUGACCCGGUCGCUACUCCCACAUACCCUCGGCUUUUCCCAUAUGUGAUUAGCUAGUAGGUGGGGGAAAGGCCCACCUGGGCGACGAUCCCUAGCUGGUCUGAGAGGAGGAACGUCCACCCUGGAACUGAGACACGGUCCAGACGCCUACGGGAGGCAGCAGUGGGGAAUAUUGGACAAUGGGCGAAAGCCUGAUGCAGCCAUGCCGCGUGUAUGAAGAAGGCCUUCGGGUUGUAAAGUACUUUCAGCGGGGAGGCGUUACCCGCAGAAGAAGCACCGGCUAACUCCGUGCCAGCAGCCGCGGUAAUAC